Molecule: ribosomal RNA, 497 nt
Filed under: uncultured bacterium
Lineage: Bacteria
Description: partial 16S ribosomal RNA
Rfam family: Bacterial small subunit ribosomal RNA
Source: RNAcentral
GAUGAACGCUGGCGGCGUGCCUAAUACAUGCAAGUCGAGCGAACAGAUGAGGAGCUUGCUCCUCUGACGUUAGCGGCGGACGGGUGAGUAACACGUGGAUAACCUACCUAUAAGACUGGGAUAACUUCGGGAAACCGGAGCUAAUCCCGGAUAAUAUAUUGAACCGCAUGGUUCAAUAGUGAAAGACGGUUUUGCUGUCACUUAUAGAUGGAUCCGCGCCGCAUUAGCUAGUUGGUAAGGUAACGGCUUACCAAGGCAACGAUGCGUAGCCGACCUGAGAGGGUGAUCGGCCACACUGGAACUGAGACACGGUCCAGACUCCUACGGGAGGCAGCAGUAGGGAAUCUUCCGCAAUGGGCGAAAGCCUGACGGAGCAACGCCGCGUGAGUGAUGAAGGUCUUCGGAUCGUAAAACUCUGUUAUUAGGGAAGAACAAAUGUGUAAGUAACUAUGCACGUCUUGACGGUACCUAAUCAGAAAGCCACGGCUAACUACGUG